GAUGAACGCUGGCGGCGUGCCUAAUACAUGCAAGUCGAGCGAACAGACGAGGAGCUUGCUCCUCUGACGUUAGCGGCGGACGGGUGAGUAACACGCGGAUAACCUACCUAUAAGACUGGGAUAACUUCGGGAAACCGGAGCUAAUACCGGAUAAUAUAUUGAACCGCAUGGUUCAAUAGUGAAAGACGGUUUUGCUGUCACUUAUAGAUGGAUCCGCGCCGCAUUAGCUAGUUGGUAAGGUAACGGCUUACCAAGGCAACGAUGCGUAGCCGACCUGAGAGGGUGAUCGGCCACACUGGAACUGAGACACGGUCCAGACUCCUACGGGAGGCAGCAGUAGGGAAUCUUCCGCAAUGGGCGAAAGCCCGACGGAGCAACGCCGCGUGAGUGAUGAAGGUCUUCGGAUCGUAAAACUCUGUUAUUAGGGAAGAACAAAUGUGUAAGUAACUAUGCACGUCUUGACGGUACCUAAUCAGAAAGCCACGGCUAACUACGUG
This 497-nucleotide ribosomal RNA is filed under the name uncultured bacterium. RNAcentral's name for it is "partial 16S ribosomal RNA". It matches the Rfam family "Bacterial small subunit ribosomal RNA", at positions 28 to 507 of the family's 1533-position model. The record is from RNAcentral.